RNAcentral lists this ribosomal RNA (605 nucleotides) under uncultured bacterium. RNAcentral describes it as "bacterial SSU rRNA". It matches the Rfam family "Bacterial small subunit ribosomal RNA", at positions 1 to 659 of the family's 1533-position model. The record is from RNAcentral.
UGAGUUUGAUCAUGGCUCAGGAUGAACGCUGGCGGCGUGCUUAACACAUGCAAGUCGAACGAACCUUCGGGUUAGUGGCGGACGGGUGAGUAACGCGUGAGAAUCUGCCCUCAGGAGGGGGACAACAGCUGGAAACGGCUGCUAAUACCCCAUAUGCCGCGAGGCGAAAUGAAUUUCGCCUGAGGAUGAGCUCGCGUCUGAUUAGCUAGUUGGUGUAGGUAAUGGCUCACCAAGGCAUCGAUCAGUAGCUGGUCUGAGAGGAUGAUCAGCCACACUGGGACUGAGACACGGCCCAGACUCCUACGGGAGGCAGCAGUGGGGAAUUUUCCGCAAUGGGCGAAAGCCUGACGGAGCAACGCCGCGUGAGGGAUGAAGGCCUCUGGGCUGUAAGCCUCUUUUAUCAAGGAAGAAGAUCUGACGGUACUUGAUGAAUAAGCCACGGCUAAUUCCGUGCCAGCAGCCGCGGUAAUACGGGAGUGGCAAGCGUUAUCCGGAAUUAUUGGGCGUAAAGCGUCCGCAGGCGGCCCUUCAAGUCUGCUGCUAAAAAGUGGAGCUUAACUCCAUCAUGGCAGUGGAAACUGUUGGGCUUGAGUGUGGUAGGGGCA